RNAcentral lists this ribosomal RNA (433 nucleotides) under uncultured bacterium. Its description in RNAcentral is "partial 16S ribosomal RNA". It matches the Rfam family "Bacterial small subunit ribosomal RNA", at positions 29 to 507 of the family's 1533-position model. The record is from RNAcentral.
AACGAACGCUGGCGGCAGGCCUAACACAUGCAAGUCGAGCGAGGACUUCGGUUCUAGCGGCGGACGGGUGAGUAACGCGUGGGAAUGUGCCCUUCUCUACGGAAUAGCCCUGGGAAACUGGGAGUAAUACCGUAUACGCCCUAUUGGGGAAAGAUUUAUCGGAGAAGGAUCAGCCCGCGUUGGAUUAGGUAGUUGGUGGGGUAAUGGCCUACCAAGCCGACGAUCCAUAGCUGGUUUGAGAGGAUGAUCAGCCACACUGGGACUGAGACACGGCCCAGACUCCUACGGGAGGCAGCAGUGGGGAAUCUUAGACAAUGGGGGCAACCCUGAUCUAGCCAUACCGCGUGAGUGAUGAAGGCCUUAGGGUUGUAAAGCUCUUUCAGCUGGGAAGAUAAUGACGGUACCAGCAGAAGAAGCCCCGGCUAACUCCGUG